Molecule: ribosomal RNA, 403 nt
Filed under: uncultured bacterium
Lineage: Bacteria
Description: partial 16S ribosomal RNA
Rfam family: Bacterial small subunit ribosomal RNA
Source: RNAcentral
AUUGAACGCUGGCGGCAGGCCUAACACAUGCAAGUCGAGCGAGCGGCGGGCGGGUGAGUAAUGUAUGGGGACUGCCCGAUAGAGGGGGCUAAAUACUGGAAACGGUAACUAAUACCGCAUACUAUCGGAUAACCCAUAUGGGAUUAUCUAGGAGGUGGGGUAAUGGCUAACAUAGGCGACGAUCCCUAGCUGGUCUGAGAGGAUGAUCAGCCACACGUGGACUGAGACACGGCCCAGACUCCUACGGAGGCAGCAGUGGGGAAUAUUGCACAAUGGGCGCAAGCCUGAUGCAGCCAUGCCGCGUGUAUGAAGAAGGCCCUAGGGUUGUAAAGUACUUUCAGUCGGGAGGCGUUACCGACAGAAGAAGCACCGGCUAACUCCGUGCCAGCAGCCGCGGUAAUAC